Molecule: small RNA, 804 nt
Filed under: Pan troglodytes (chimpanzee)
Lineage: Eukaryota; Metazoa; Chordata; Mammalia; Primates; Hominidae
Description: processed transcript
Source: RNAcentral
AAAAAUCAUAUUAUUCUGAUUUCAUCACCAACCUCACAGUUUUCCAGGCAUAUGUAGAAGAAGUAAUUAUAAUGCCAAAGUAUGAAAUAUAGCCGGUUUCAUAACCGGAAUGAAUUAUGACUAAUUCUCCUGCAGUAAACAAUUUGUUUUUCAAAUCUGUAUUCCCCAGACAGCUGAGCCAGGCCUUGCUUCUCAAGUGUUUUAUUUAAAUAGGCAGUAUGUCAGUGGAGUUUUACCACAGAGUUUCUGAGCACAGAGAGCCUUUCCCUAGGAGUGGGGUGCAGGGAACUGGAGGGCAAUGGUUCUUAUGAGAAGGUGAUGAUGCUUCUAAGAAAAAAGAUUACACAAUGCCCUGGCUAAAGCUACUGUGAAAGAACUUGCCUCACUGCACGGCACCAAGUACACAUAUGGCCCGGGAGCUACAACAAUCUAUCCUGCUGCUGGGGGCUCUGACGACUGGGCUUACGACCAAGGAAUCAGAUAUUCCUUCACCUUUGAACUUCGAGAUACAGGCAGAUAUGGCUUUCUCCUUCCAGAAUCCCAGAUCCGGGCUACCUGCGAGGAGACCUUCCUGGCAAUCAAGUAUGUUGCCAGCUACGUCCUGGAACACCUGUACUAGUUGAGAAAGCUGAUGGCCUUGUUUCAAAAUUCUCAUUUUUCAUUUCUUUUCUUUCUUGAAUUCUUAUUUUGGUUUGCCUGGAUGUUUUGCAGAUCCCAAUCUUUCUUUUAAGCUUCUGGGUCUAUUAAACUAGGUAGAUCUUUUCGUAUUGAUCAUAAUAAAAGUGAAUCAUUACCAUUGGAAAA